CCUACGGGAGGCAGCAGUGGGGAAUCUUGCGCAAUGGGCGAAAGCCUGACGCAGCCAUGCCGCGUGAAUGAUGAAGGUCUUAGGAUUGUAAAAUCCUUUCACCGGGGACGAUAAUGACGGUACCCGGAGAAGAAGCCCCGGCUAACUUCGUGCCAGCAGCCGCGGUAAUACGAAGGGGGCUAGCGUUGCUCGGAAUUACUGGGCGUAAAGGGAGCGUAGGCGGACUGUUUAGUCAGAGGUGAAAGCCCAGGGCUCAACCUUGGAAUUGCCUUUGAUACUGGCAGUCUUGAGUACGGAAGAGGUAUGUGGAACUCCGAGUGUAGAGGUGAAAUUCGUAGAUAUUCGGAAGAACACCAGUGGCGAAGGCGACAUACUGGUCCGUUACUGACGCUGAGGCUCGAAAGCGUGGGGAGCAAACAGGAUUAGAUACCCUGGUAGUCCACGCCGUAAACGAUGAGUGCUAGUUGUCGGCAUGCAUGCAUGUCGGUGACGCAGCUAACGCAUUAAGCACUCCGCCUGGGGAGUACGGUCGCAAGAUUAAAACUCAAAGGAAUUGACGG
RNAcentral lists this ribosomal RNA (560 nucleotides) under uncultured Alphaproteobacteria bacterium. RNAcentral describes it as "bacterial SSU rRNA". It matches the Rfam family "Bacterial small subunit ribosomal RNA", at positions 338 to 916 of the family's 1533-position model. The record is from RNAcentral. Lineage: Bacteria; Pseudomonadati; Pseudomonadota; Alphaproteobacteria.